UACUCAGAUGAUUCCAUGGUAAC
RNAcentral lists this non-coding RNA (23 nucleotides) under Mus musculus (house mouse). The record is from RNAcentral. Lineage: Eukaryota; Metazoa; Chordata; Mammalia; Rodentia; Muridae.